GCCCAGAUAGCUUGAUGGUUAGGUGUUCGACUAACAAUCGUUCACUUAGGGUUCGAAUCCCAUUUGGGUU
Molecule: transfer RNA, 70 nt
Filed under: Fasciola gigantica
Lineage: Eukaryota; Metazoa; Platyhelminthes; Trematoda; Plagiorchiida; Fasciolidae
Rfam family: tRNA
About the family: Transfer RNA (tRNA) molecules are approximately 80 nucleotides in length. Their secondary structure includes four short double-helical elements and three loops (D, anti-codon, and T loops).
Source: Rfam by way of RNAcentral